CAGCAUCGCAAAAGGAGGAGAAAAGAACACAAAGAAGGCAAUUAUUACCAUCAGUUACACUUUGUGAUACUGAGCCCAGGACCCGCUUACAUUUCAUCAGACUCUGAAACCACCUGCCGCAAAGAUGAGGGACAAGUUUUCCAUCAACUCCACCUAUAUGCCACACACAUCUACUAAUCUUACAGGAACCCUUUUUCUGGAAAUAACGGAAAAGGCAGAGGCCAAUUUUGUGACCCGGGAAAAACUGCUGUUGCUAGCUGAACACUGGAAACCUACUGCCUGAACAUCCUGUUUUACAACUAGUGUGUUUUGUGAAGGGUUGUGUAUCUGCUGUAUAUGUAUCAGCCGCCCACUGUUAUGCAUCAAAUUGGCUCAACUAUGCAAAGGGCGUAAAGGGACAAUUUUUGUAGAUGGGGAGCAGUUUUUAGCACAGUCCUUUCUCUUAGCGGCUUCCUUGAGGGCUGAGAGAUUUAUACUACUUCGGUGGAUGGAGACCCAAGCAAUGCAGUUCAGUUCCCAACUCCCUCUUCCCCCUACCUCUCCUCCACACCCCUUCAUUCUCUGUCUCUACCCCCACCCCAACCCCACCGCAAACUCUUAGCAAAAUAAACAACUCACCACAGGC
Vombatus ursinus (common wombat) is the source of this 625-nucleotide long non-coding RNA. RefSeq lists it as uncharacterized. The transcript has 3 exons. Lineage: Eukaryota; Metazoa; Chordata; Mammalia; Diprotodontia; Vombatidae. The record is from RefSeq and is a predicted model, not a curated record.